This 84-nucleotide transfer RNA is filed under the name Canis lupus familiaris (dog). It matches the Rfam family "tRNA". From Rfam's summary of the family: Transfer RNA (tRNA) molecules are approximately 80 nucleotides in length. Their secondary structure includes four short double-helical elements and three loops (D, anti-codon, and T loops). The record is from Rfam by way of RNAcentral. RNAcentral also lists the same sequence under 1 other name. Lineage: Eukaryota; Metazoa; Chordata; Mammalia; Carnivora; Canidae.
GCCUGGGUGGCUCAGUCGGUUAAGCGUCUGACUUCAGCUCAGGUCAUGAUCUUGGGGUCCUGGGAUCAAGCCCCAAUUCAGGCU